AUUGAACGCUGGCGGCAGGCCUAACACAUGCAAGUCGAACGGUAACAGGAAGCAGCUUGCUGCUUCGCUGACGAGUGGCGGACGGGUGAGUAAUGUCUGGGAAACUGCCUGAUGGAGGGGGAUAACUACUGGAAACGGUAGCUAAUACCGCAUAACGUCGCAAGACCAAAGAGGGGGACCUUCGGGCCUCUUGCCAUCGGAUGUGCCCAGAUGGGAUUAGCUUGUUGGUGGGGUAACGGCUCACCAAGGCGACGAUCCCUAGCUGGUCUGAGAGGAUGACCAGCCACACUGGAACUGAGACAUGGUCCAGACUCCUACGGGAGGCAGCAGUGGGGAAUAUUGCACAAUGGGCGCAAGCCUGAUGCAGCCAUGCCGCGUGUAUGAAGAAGGCCUUCGGGUUGUAAAGUACUUUCAGCGGGGAGGAAGGGAGUAAAGUUAAUACCUUUGCUCAUUGACGUUACCCGCAGAAGAAGCACCGGCUAACUCCGUGCCAGCAGCCGCGGUAAUACGGAGGGUGCAAGCGUUAAUCGGAAUUACUGGGCGUAAAGCGCACGCAGGCGGUUUGUUAAGUCAGAUGUGAAAUCCCCGGGCUCAACCUGGGAACUGCAUCUGAUACUGGCAAGCUUGAGUCUCGUAGAGGGGGGUAGAAUUCCAGGUGUAGCGGUGAAAUGCGUAGAGAUCUGGAGGAAUACCGGUGGCGAAGGCGGCCCCCUGGACGAAGACUGACGCUCAGGUGCGAAAGCGUGGGGAGCAAACAGGAUUAGAUACCCUGGUAGUCCACGCCGUAAACGAUGUCGACUUGGAGGUUGUGCCCUUGAGGCGUGGCUUCCGGAGCUAACGCGUUAAGUCGACCGCCUGGGGAGUACGGCCGCAAGGUUAAAACUCAAAUGAAUUGACGGGGGCCCGCACAAGCGGUGGAGCAUGUGGUUUAAUUCGAUGCAACGCGAAGAACCUUACCUGGUCUUGACAUCCACGGAAGUUUUCAGAGAUGAGAAUGUGCCUUCGGGAACCGUGAGACAGGUGCUGCAUGGCUGUCGUCAGCUCGUGUUGUGAAAUGUUGGGUUAAGUCCCGCAACGAGCGCAACCCUUAUCCUUUGUUGCCAGCGGUCCGGCCGGGAACUCAAAGGAGACUGCCAGUGAUAAACUGGAGGAAGGUGGGGAUGACGUCAAGUCAUCAUGGCCCUUACGACCAGGGCUACACACGUGCUACAAUGGCGCAUACAAAGAGAAGCGACCUCGCGAGAGCAAGCGGACCUCAUAAAGUGCGUCGUAGUCCGGAUUGGAGUCUGCAACUCGACUCCAUGAAGUCGGAAUCGCUAGUAAUCGUGGAUCAGAAUGCCACGGUGAAUACGUUCCCGGGCCUCGUACACACCCCGUCACACCAUGGGAGUGGGUUGCAAAAGAAGUAGGUAGCUUAACCUUCGGGAGGGCGCUUACCACUUUGUGAUUCAUGACUGGGGUG
This 1462-nucleotide ribosomal RNA is filed under the name Escherichia coli. RNAcentral's name for it is "bacterial SSU rRNA". It matches the Rfam family "Bacterial small subunit ribosomal RNA". The record is from RNAcentral. Lineage: Bacteria; Pseudomonadati; Pseudomonadota; Gammaproteobacteria; Enterobacterales; Enterobacteriaceae.